UACGUAGGUGGCAAGCGUUAUCCGGAAUUAUUGGGCGUAAAGCGCGCGCAGGCGGUUUCUUAAGUCUGAUGUGAAAGCCCACGGCUCAACCGUGGAGGGUCAUUGGAAACUGGGGAACUUGAGUGCAGAAGAGAAAAGCGGAAUUCCACAGUGUAGCGGUGAAAUGCGUAGAGAUGUGGAGGAACACCAGUGGCGAAGGCGGCUUUUUGGUCUGUAACUGACGCUGAGGCGCGAAAGCGUGGGGAGCAAACAGG
This 254-nucleotide ribosomal RNA is filed under the name uncultured bacterium. RNAcentral's name for it is "partial 16S ribosomal RNA". It matches the Rfam family "Bacterial small subunit ribosomal RNA", at positions 524 to 776 of the family's 1533-position model. The record is from RNAcentral.